CUUUGUGUGGCACCUUGUUCUGAGAGUAACUGAAUGAGAACAAGGUUCUGCACAAAGGA
RNAcentral lists this microRNA precursor (59 nucleotides) under Monodelphis domestica (gray short-tailed opossum). Its description in RNAcentral is "microRNA mdo-mir-12297f precursor". The record is from miRBase by way of RNAcentral. Lineage: Eukaryota; Metazoa; Chordata; Mammalia; Didelphimorphia; Didelphidae.